This 101-nucleotide microRNA precursor is filed under the name Marmota monax (woodchuck). Lineage: Eukaryota; Metazoa; Chordata; Mammalia; Rodentia; Sciuridae. The record is from RNAcentral.
AGUGGGAUUGCUGGAUCAUAUGAUAAUUCUAUUUUUAAUUUUCAAAGAAACUGUCAUGCUGCUUUCCACAGUGGCUGCACAAUUUUAUGUUCACCAGCAAU